GCCGCUGUGGCUCAGUGGAUAGAGCGUCGGCCUGUGGGCUGGAGGGUCCUGGGUUCGAUUCCGGUCAAGGGCA
Molecule: non-coding RNA, 73 nt
Organism: Myotis brandtii (Brandt's bat)
Lineage: Eukaryota; Metazoa; Chordata; Mammalia; Chiroptera; Vespertilionidae
Source: Rfam